RNAcentral lists this long non-coding RNA (502 nucleotides) under Hordeum vulgare. RNAcentral's name for it is "long non-coding RNA (HVUL_LNC017744)". Lineage: Eukaryota; Viridiplantae; Streptophyta; Magnoliopsida; Poales; Poaceae. The record is from RNAcentral.
GGGCUGGGCCGAGGAAAGGGCCAACAAGCCCAUGUCCUGCCCAAAGCCCGCUCCGGCGGUACCUUGAAAUACCCCGCCUUGGCGCCCGAGCGUAACCGCCUCACCCAACAGCGCGCCCUUCUCCUCGUCGCCGGAGCGCCGACAAGAACCAAGAACCCGCCUCCUCCGCUCUCCGGCGACCCAGCGCCGGCGGCGACCGAUGGACCAGUUCCACGACAGGCAGCACGUGCGGCUGCGGAGCCGCGUGCUCGGCACGUACCUCCACGCCGACCACGACGGGGAGCGCGUCUCCCUCAGCCGGCGCCGUGACUCGCUGCACGCGGCGUGGGCGGUGCACAUCCACCCACGCCCCGACGGCCCGUACCUUCUCCUCCACAGCGCCGCCUACGGCCGCUACCUCGGCGCCACGUUCAAGCCGUCGCCGCUCGGCCACCUCGGCUGCCGCACCGAGCAGCGCGACUACGACGACGAGCAGGACUUGAUGGCCGUCAUGUGGCGGGNN